RNAcentral lists this ribosomal RNA (567 nucleotides) under uncultured Bacteroidota bacterium. Its description in RNAcentral is "bacterial SSU rRNA". It matches the Rfam family "Bacterial small subunit ribosomal RNA", at positions 233 to 798 of the family's 1533-position model. Lineage: Bacteria; Pseudomonadati; Bacteroidota. The record is from RNAcentral.
GCGUCCGAUUASCCAGUUGGCGGGGCAACGGCCCACCAAAGCGACGAUCGGUAGGGGUUCUGAGAGGAAGGUCCCCCRCAAUGGAASUGAGACACGGUCCAUACUCCUACGGGAGGCAGCAGUGAGGAAUAUUGGUCAAUGGGCGGAAGCCUGAACCAGCCAUGCCGCGUGCAGGAAUAAGGCCCUAUGGGUUGUAAACYGCUUUUCCCGCGGAGCAAUAAGGAUGUUUUGGACAUCCGAUGAGAGUACGCGGGGAAUAAGCAUCGGCUAACUCCGUSCCAGCAGCCGCGGUMAUACGGAGGAUGCGAGCGUUAUCCGGAUUCAUUGGGUAUAAAGGGUGCGUAGGCGGCUCUGCAAGUCAGCGGUGAAAUGUCCGGGCCCAACCCGGAAGGUGCCGUUGAUACUGUGGAGCUGGAGUACGUCGCCGGGGAGGAAUGAGUGGYGUAGCGGUGAAAUGCAUAGARAUCACUCAGAACACCGAUUGCGAAGGCAUCCGCCGAGACCGAAACUGACGCUGAGGCACGAAASCGUGCCGUUUUAACAGGAUUAGAUACCCUGGUAUUCCAC